RNAcentral lists this unclassified non-coding RNA (303 nucleotides) under plant metagenome. Its description in RNAcentral is "partial contains 5.8S ribosomal RNA, internal transcribed spacer 2, and large subunit ribosomal RNA". The stretch from base 1 to 104 matches the Rfam family "5.8S ribosomal RNA", at positions 51 to 154 of the family's 154-position model. The record is from RNAcentral.
AAAUGCGAUAAGUAAUGUGAAUUGCAGAAUUCCGUGAAUCAUCGAAUCUUUGAACGCACAUUGCGCCCCCUGGCAUUCCGGGGGGCAUGCCUGUCCGAGCGUCAUUUCUGCCCUCAAGCACGGCUUGUGUGUUGGGUGUGGUCCCCCCGGGGACCUGCCCGAAAGGCAGCGGCGACGUCCGUCUGGUCCUCGAGCGUAUGGGGCUCUGUCACUCGCUCGGGAAGGACCUGCGGGGGUUGGUCACCACCAUAUUUCACCACGGUUGACCUCGGAUUAGGUAGGAGUUACCCGCUGAACUUAAGC